This 75-nucleotide transfer RNA is filed under the name Kroppenstedtia eburnea. RNAcentral describes it as "tRNA-Asn". It matches the Rfam family "tRNA". Rfam says of the family: Transfer RNA (tRNA) molecules are approximately 80 nucleotides in length. Their secondary structure includes four short double-helical elements and three loops (D, anti-codon, and T loops). Further hydrogen bonds mediate the characteristic L-shaped molecular structure. tRNAs have two regions of fundamental functional importance: the anti-codon, which is responsible for specific mRNA codon recognition, and the 3' end, to which the tRNAs corresponding amino acid is attached (by aminoacyl-tRNA synthetases). tRNAs cope with the degeneracy of the genetic code in two manners: having more than one tRNA (with a specific anti-codon) for a particular amino acid; and 'wobble' base-pairing, i.e. permitting non-standard base-pairing at the 3rd anti-codon position. Lineage: Bacteria; Bacillati; Bacillota; Bacilli; Caryophanales; Thermoactinomycetaceae. RNAcentral also lists the same sequence under 3 other names. The record is from RNAcentral.
UCCUCAGUAGCUCAAUGGUAGAGCGUCCGGCUGUUAACCGGCAGGUUGCAGGUUCGAGUCCUGCCUGAGGAGCCA